RNAcentral lists this ribosomal RNA (494 nucleotides) under uncultured bacterium. RNAcentral describes it as "partial 16S ribosomal RNA". It matches the Rfam family "Bacterial small subunit ribosomal RNA", at positions 28 to 507 of the family's 1533-position model. The record is from RNAcentral.
GACGAACGCUGGCGGCGUGCUUAACACAUGCAAGUCGAACGGUGAAGCGCCUUCCUUUUUGGUGGGUGUGGAUGAGUGGCGAACGGGUGAGUAACACGUUAGUAACCUGCCCCCUUCUUCUGGAUAACCGCAUGAAAGUGUGGCUAAUACGGGAUAUUCUGGGUCUGUCGCAUGAUGGGUCUGGGAAAGAUAUUGUUUCGGUGGGGGAUGGGCUCGCGGCCUAUCAGCUUGUUGGUGGGGUGAUGGCCUACCAAGGCGGUGACGGGUAGCCGGCCUGGGAGGGUGGACGGCCACACUGGGACUGCGACACGGCCCAGACUCCUACGGGAGGCAGCAGUGGGGAUUAUUGCACAAUGGGCGCAAGCCUGAUGCAGCGACGCCGCGUGAGGGAUGGAGGCCUUCGGGUUGUGAACCUCUUUCGCCAGUGAAGCAGGCCUGCCUCGUUUGUGGGUGGGUUGACGGUAGCUGGAUAAGAAGCGCCGGCUAACUACGUG